AGUGAACGCUGGCGGUAGGCCUAACACAUGCAAGUCGAACGGCAGCACAGUAAGAGCUUGCUCUUACGGGUGGCGAGUGGCGGACGGGUGAGGAAUACAUCGGAAUCUACUUUUUCGUGGGGGAUAACGUAGGGAAACUUACGCUAAUACCGCAUACGACCUACGGGUGAAAGCAGGGGAUCUUCGGACCUUGCGCGAUUGAAUGAGCCGAUGUCGGAUUAGCUAGUUGGCGGGGUAAAGGCCCACCAAGGCGACGAUCCGUAGCUGGUCUGAGAGGAUGAUCAGCCACACUGGAACUGAGACACGGUCCAGCCUCCUACGGGAGGCAGCAGUGGGGAAUAUUGGACAAUGGGCGCAAGCCUGAUCCAGCCAUCCCGCGUGGGUGAAGAAGGCCUUCGGGUUGUAAAGCCCUUUUGUUGGGAAAGAAAAGCAGCAGGUUAAUACCCCGCUGUUCUGACGGUACCCAAAGAAUAAGCACCGGCUAACUUCGUG
RNAcentral lists this ribosomal RNA (492 nucleotides) under uncultured bacterium. RNAcentral describes it as "partial 16S ribosomal RNA". It matches the Rfam family "Bacterial small subunit ribosomal RNA", at positions 29 to 507 of the family's 1533-position model. The record is from RNAcentral.